GAUGAACGCUGGCGGCGUGCCUAAUACAUGCAAGUCGAGCGAACAGAUGAGGAGCUUGCUCCUCUGACGUUAGCGGCGGACGGGUGAGUAACACGUGGAUAACCUACCUAUAAGACUGGGAUAACUUCGGGAAACCAGAGCUAAUACCGGAUAAUAUAUUGAACCGCAUGGUUCAAUAGUGAAAGACGGUUUUGCUGUCACUUAUAGAUGGAUCCGCGCCGCAUUAGCUAGUUGGUAAGGUAACGGCUUACCAAGGCAACGAUGCGUAGCCGACCUGAGAGGGUGAUCGGCCACACUGGAACUGAGACACGGUCCAGACUCCUACGGGAGGCAGCAGUAGGGAAUCUUCCGCAAUGGGCGAAAGCCUGACGGAGCAACGCCGCGUGAGUGAUGAAGGUCUUCGGAUCGUAAAACUCUGUUAUUAGGGAAGAACAAAUGUGUAAGUAACUAUGCACGUCUUGACGGUACCUAAUCAGAAAGCCACGGCUAACUACGU
This 496-nucleotide ribosomal RNA is filed under the name uncultured bacterium. RNAcentral's name for it is "partial 16S ribosomal RNA". It matches the Rfam family "Bacterial small subunit ribosomal RNA", at positions 28 to 506 of the family's 1533-position model. The record is from RNAcentral.